AUGGACGGUACAACGAGUCGCAAGACCGCGAGGUUUAGCAAAUCUCUUAAAGCCGUUCUCAGUUCGGAUUGUAGGCUGCAACUCGCCUACAUGAAGUCGGAAUCGCUAGUAAUCGCGGAUCAGAAUGCCGCGGUGAAUGCGUUCCCGGGUCUUGUACACACCGCCCGUCACACCAUGGAAGUUGGGGGCGCCCGAAGUUGCCUAAGAAAUAGGGUACCUAAGGCGAAACCAAUGACUGGGGUGAAGUCGUAACAAGGUACC
This 261-nucleotide ribosomal RNA is filed under the name uncultured bacterium. RNAcentral describes it as "partial 16S ribosomal RNA". It matches the Rfam family "Bacterial small subunit ribosomal RNA", at positions 1230 to 1500 of the family's 1533-position model. The record is from RNAcentral.